This 72-nucleotide transfer RNA is filed under the name Camelus bactrianus (Bactrian camel). It matches the Rfam family "tRNA". From Rfam's summary of the family: Transfer RNA (tRNA) molecules are approximately 80 nucleotides in length. Their secondary structure includes four short double-helical elements and three loops (D, anti-codon, and T loops). Further hydrogen bonds mediate the characteristic L-shaped molecular structure. tRNAs have two regions of fundamental functional importance: the anti-codon, which is responsible for specific mRNA codon recognition, and the 3' end, to which the tRNAs corresponding amino acid is attached (by aminoacyl-tRNA synthetases). tRNAs cope with the degeneracy of the genetic code in two manners: having more than one tRNA (with a specific anti-codon) for a particular amino acid; and 'wobble' base-pairing, i.e. permitting non-standard base-pairing at the 3rd anti-codon position. The record is from Rfam by way of RNAcentral. Lineage: Eukaryota; Metazoa; Chordata; Mammalia; Artiodactyla; Camelidae. RNAcentral also lists the same sequence under 2 other names.
GAGGGUAUAGCUCAAUGGUGGGGUGCAUGCUUAGUAUGCACAAGGUCCUGGGGUCAGUCCCCAGUACCUCCA